RNAcentral lists this ribosomal RNA (491 nucleotides) under uncultured bacterium. RNAcentral's name for it is "bacterial SSU rRNA". It matches the Rfam family "Bacterial small subunit ribosomal RNA", at positions 21 to 518 of the family's 1533-position model. The record is from RNAcentral.
GGUUCAGGAUGAACGCUGGCGGCGUGCUUAACACAUGCAAGUCGAACGGAGCUUAGAAGGAAGCUUGCUUUCAUUAAGCUUAGUGGCGGACGGGUGAGUAACGCGUGAGUAACCUGCCCUUGAGAGGGGAAUAACAUCGAGAAAUCGGUGCUAAUACCGCAUAAUGUCGGAGUACCGCAUGACAUUCCGACCAAAGAUUUUAUCGCUCAAGGAUGGACUCGCGUCCGAUUAGCUAGUUGGUGAGGUAACGGCCCACCAAGGCUUCGAUCGGUAGCCGAACUGAGAGGUUGAUCGGCCACAUUGGGACUGAGACACGGCCCAGACUCCUACGGGAGGCAGCAGUGGGGAAUAUUGGGCAAUGGGCGCAAGCCUGAACCCCAGCAACGCCGCGUGAAGGAUGAAGGUCUUCGGAUUGUAAACUUCUUUGAUUGGGGAAGAAUAAAUGACCUGCCCAAAGAACAAGCCACGGCUAACUACGUGCCAGCAGCAGC